GCUAACGUCCGUCGUGAAGAGGGAAACAACCCAGACCGCCAGCUAAGGUCCCAAAGUCAUGGUUAAGUGGGAAACGAUGUGGGAAGGCCCAGACAGCCAGGAUGUUGGCUUAGAAGCAGCCAUCAUUUAAAGAAAGCGUAAUAGCUCACUGGUCGAGUCGGCCUGCGCGGAAGAUGUAACGGGGCUAAACCAUGCACCGAAGCUGCGGCAGCGACACUCAGGUGUUGUUGGGUAGGGGAGCGUUCUGUAAGCCUGCGAAGGUGGCCUGUGAGGGUUGCUGGAGGUAUCAGAAGUGCGAAUGCUGACAUAAGUAACGAUAAAGCGGGUGAAAAGCCCGCUCGCCGGAAGACCAAGGGUUCCUGUCCAACGUUAAUCGGGGCAGGGUGAGUCGACCCCUAAGGCGAGGCCGAAAGGCGUAGUCGAUGGGAAACGGGUUAAUAUUCCCGUACUUGGUGUUACUGCGAAGGGGGGACGGAGAAGGCUAUGUUGGCCGGGCGACGGUUGUCCCGGUUUAAGCGUGUAGGUGUGUGUUCCAGGUAAAUCCGGUU
This 548-nucleotide ribosomal RNA is filed under the name Salmonella enterica subsp. enterica serovar Agona. RNAcentral describes it as "partial 23S ribosomal RNA". It matches the Rfam family "Bacterial large subunit ribosomal RNA", at positions 997 to 1547 of the family's 2925-position model. Lineage: Bacteria; Pseudomonadati; Pseudomonadota; Gammaproteobacteria; Enterobacterales; Enterobacteriaceae. The record is from RNAcentral.